Molecule: ribosomal RNA, 481 nt
Filed under: uncultured bacterium
Lineage: Bacteria
Description: partial 16S ribosomal RNA
Rfam family: Bacterial small subunit ribosomal RNA
Source: RNAcentral
GAUGAACGCUGGCGGCGUGCCUAACACAUGCAAGUCGAACGGAGAUUACGGACGGUUGCUUUUGGAUGGAUGCCUGCAAUUCUUAGUGUCGCACGGGUGAGUAACGCGUGUGCAACUUGCCCUAUACAGGGGGACAGCAGCUGGAAACGGCUGGUAAUACCGCACACGUCGGUUAAAUCGCAUGAACUGUCCUGGUAAUGAGCAAUCAGGUAUAGGAUGUGCCUGCGUUGGUUUAGCCAGUAGGCAGGGUAAAAGCCUACCAAAGCGACGAUCGGUAGCCGGGAUGGGAGGUCGGGCCGCGACAUUGGGGCUAGGACACGGCCGGGACUCCUACGGAAGGGAGGAGAGGGGGAUAUAGCACAGUGGAGGAAGCUAUGAAGGAGCGCCGACGGGAAAGUGAAGUUAUAUGUCAGGAAGUAAAGCUCAAUCAGCAGGGCAGAUGAUGACGGUACCUGACUAAGAAGCCCCGGCUAACUACGUG